UGAAAGUUUUCUCUGCGGAAAGCCCAUUUGUCCCGCUCCAUGCGUGCUUGGCCACAGAAUCCUUUCUGGGUUCUCGGUGUUUCCUCAAACGCCCCUCUGCUGAGUCUCAGGCUGCGGCGCUUUUCUGAUCUGUUGAAUCCCCACUCCGCGCAGAUCAGGAAGAAAAGAAAGGAAUGUAAAUCGGCACAAAAUACCGCCACAGACAAAAGCCAAAAAAUGAGAAUCUUCAAAUAGAAAAUUAACUCACCAGACAUGAUGGCUGAGAUGAUUAGAGGAUCCCUGGAGAAGACCUUUGGAUCUCCACAACGUUCUGUUCUGCCUCAGGAAAAUGGCCAAGAACGAAAUUUCUAUAAAAGUUUCCAAAAACAACAAGUCUGGUGUGUUCCAGCGGGAUCAGAGCAUACAACAAUAUUGUAAUAAAGCUGGGGAGAUAAUAGUUUGAGAUUUUCUUCCUCCAUGCCUACUAUUUAAAACCCCUAGAACUCAAUGAUUUGACAAUGAUUUGAUUGCGCGUUACUUACAAUUUGAAUAUUCAGAAGCAACGCUCUCAAAUCAACUUUUCAAUAAAAAUAACUAUCCAAGGACUUUGUAAAAGCCCCACUUUAAUGUAAUAUAGCUGUGUUUUAUGCUUUGGUGAGAAAAAAACACACUUUAAUCAAUUUUAUGCUCCUUUUGGCAUAUCAGAGCAUCACAGCCCUUAUUACACACACCAGCUGUAGAUGACGCUUUCUGCACACAUUUAAAGGUGAAUUUCACCCCAAAUCUUACCUCACAUAUCCACUGAUGGACCACACGCACAAGAAAUGUGUGAAAUGUUCAUUUUUAAAGGUUUUAUGGGAAAGAAAAACGCACAAAAGCAGGAUAGAAGGGGGCGGGGCAAAAGGCAACAGCCAUCUUUGCCAUCGCAGGCCUUGAGCUGCUGCAGCAAGUGGCUCCAGAGUUCUGAGCUGCUCUGCUGACAAAAUACAUCGUUCAAGAAAAUCUUAAAUUUGUGUUUGUUUUUUUACAUUUUUUUCUUGCGGAGGAACUGAAGCCUGUUAACAAACCAUCUCUUUGAUUGCAUAUUAAGAAAUGUAUAACAAAGUUGAUCCAAUAAAAUCACAAAAGCAUAGUAAAUACAUGUAAAAAUAUUGUUGACAUAUUGUUCAUUAAAUAACUGUUGAUGUGGUUAACAUUUAGAACGUGUUGUUUGCAUUUGUAUUUAAUAAAAUAGCACAUCUUAUUA
This is a long non-coding RNA of Xiphophorus couchianus (Monterrey platyfish), 1225 nucleotides long. RefSeq lists it as uncharacterized. The record is from RefSeq and is a predicted model, not a curated record. Lineage: Eukaryota; Metazoa; Chordata; Actinopteri; Cyprinodontiformes; Poeciliidae. The transcript has 2 exons.